This 253-nucleotide ribosomal RNA is filed under the name uncultured bacterium. RNAcentral's name for it is "partial 16S ribosomal RNA". It matches the Rfam family "Bacterial small subunit ribosomal RNA", at positions 524 to 776 of the family's 1533-position model. The record is from RNAcentral.
GACAGAGGGUGCAAACGUUGUUCGGAAUUACUGGGCGUAAAGCGCGUGUAGGCGGCUAAGUAAGUCGGGCGUGAAAUCCCACGGCUCAACCGUGGAAGUGCACUCGAAACUGCAUAGCUAGAGUCCUGGAGAGGAAGGUGGAAUGCUUGGUGUAGAGGUGAAAUUCGUAGAUAUCAAGCGGGACACCGGUGGCGAAGGCGGCCUUCUGGACAGUGACUGACGCUGAGACGCGAAAGCGUGGGGAGCAAACAGG